This 1002-nucleotide ribosomal RNA is filed under the name Triticum aestivum (bread wheat). RNAcentral describes it as "partial small subunit ribosomal RNA". Lineage: Eukaryota; Viridiplantae; Streptophyta; Magnoliopsida; Poales; Poaceae. The record is from RNAcentral.
AUGGCACCCCAGCUCUCCUCCCUUGCUGCAUCUGCGGGCAUAUGUGUAGUCUCAGCUCUCGCCUUAGCCCUGAUGGUGAUCACCCUCUACAUCAUUGGCGUUGUUGUAUCCUUUGCCGUCUUCUACAUCAGAGAGUUCACCCAGAGAGCCCAUGAUCGGCCGCCGCUCACCGGGACCGUCUUCCGGCAGCUCAACAACUUUGACAAGAUCUUCGAUGAGCAUGUGAAGUAUGCACUCCUGCACCCCACCAUUAGGCUUGUCUAUCCUGGGCACAGUGAGAUUUUAACCGCCGACCCUGCCGUCAUCGAGCAUAUCCUUAAGACAAACUUCAGUAAAUACAGCAGGGGGGCCUUCAACACGGAGACCGUGAAGGAUCUGUUUGGAAAUGGGAUUUUCGUUACAGAUGGAGAGAAGUGGCAACACCAGAGAAAGCUAGCAAGCCAUGAGUUCUCAACCAAAGUGCUACGUGACUACAGCAGUGAUGUUUUCCGAAUGAAUGCUAUGAAAUUGGCAGAGAAGACCUCAGCUGCAGCAGCUAACAGAAUUACCAUAAACUUGCAGAAAGCCAGAGAUGACAUACUAUCAAGAUUCAUACUGGAAAGUGAGAAUGAUCCUGGGACGAUGAACGAUCGUUACCUUCGUGACAUAGUCCUCAGCUUCCUGAUUGCUAGUAAAGACACCACAGGGAAUACCCUUACAUGGUUCUUCUACAUGCUCUGCAAGAACCCAGUAGUGCAGGAUAAGGUUGCCUUUGAAAUCAGAGAAUAUGUCGAGUGGACUCAAGAAGAUACCAGCAUGGAAAUAUUCACCGCAAGAUUGAAACAAGGUGCUAUUGACAAAAUGCACUACCUCCAUGCUGCGAUUACCAAGACUCUCCGGCUGUAUCCUGGUGUUCCGGUGGAUGGUAAGAUGGCAGAUGAAGGUGAUGUACUGCCAAACGGCCAACGAGUAAUAAAAGGAGAUGGAAUGAACUACAUGAUUUAUGCCAUGGCUAAAACAUGA